Molecule: small nucleolar RNA, 139 nt
Filed under: Dichanthelium oligosanthes
Lineage: Eukaryota; Viridiplantae; Streptophyta; Magnoliopsida; Poales; Poaceae
Description: Small nucleolar RNA Z247
Rfam family: Small nucleolar RNA Z247
About the family: Z247 is a member of the C/D class of snoRNA which contain the C (UGAUGA) and D (CUGA) box motifs. Most of the members of the box C/D family function in directing site-specific 2'-O-methylation of substrate RNAs.
Source: Rfam by way of RNAcentral
AUAAUUGAUGAUGAUGAGAUGGUGUCUCAUAUUCUUAAUGGUUUGGACUACGACUACAAUCCUUUUGUGUCGGCUACUCUUGGUUGGUCAGAUCCAAUCUCCUUGGAUGAUCUGUACUCUGAUCUUAUGGUCUACGAUC